GGUUAAGCGACUAAGCGUACACGGUGGAUGCCCUGGCAGUCAGAGGCGAUGAAGGACGUGCUAAUCUGCGAAAAGCGUCGGUAAGGUGAUAUGAACCGUUAUAGCCGGCGAUGUCCGAAUGGGGAAACCCAGUGCAAUUCGUUGCACUAUCGUUAACUGAAUACAUAGGUUAACGAGGCGAACCGGGGGAACUGAAACAUCUAAGUACCCCGAGGAAAAGAAAUCAACCGAGAUUCCCCCAGUAGCGGCGAGCGAACGGGGAGCAGCCCAGAGUCUGAAUCAGCUUGUGUGUUAGUGGAACGGUCUGGAAAGUCCGACGGUACAGGGUGAUAGUCCCGUACACCAAAAUGCACAGGCUGUGAACUCGAAGAGUAGGGCGGGACACGUGGUAUCCUGUCUGAAUAUGGGGGGACCAUCCUCCAAGGCUAAAUACUCCUGACUGACCGAUAGUGAACCAGUACCGUGAGGGAAAGGCGAAAAGAACCCCGGCGAGGGGAGUGAAAAAGAACCUGAAACCGUGUACGUACAAGCAGUGGGAGCACCUUCGGGUGUGACUGCGUACCUUUUGUAUAAUGGGUCAGCGACUUAUAUUCUGUAGCAAGGUUAACCGUAUAGGGGAGCCGCAGGGAAACCGAGUCUUAACUGGGCGUUAAGUUGCAGGGUAUAGACCCGAAACCCGGUGAUCUAGCCAUGGGCAGGUUGAAGGUUGGGUAACACUAACUGGAGGACCGAACCGACUAAUGUUGAAAAAUUAGCGGAUGACUUGUGGCUGGGGGUGAAAGGCCAAUCAAACCGGGAGAUAGCUGGUUCUCCCCGAAAGCUAUUUAGGUAGCGCCUCGUGAACUCAUCUUCGGGGGUAGAGCACUGUUUCGGCUAGGGGGUCAUCCCGACUUACCAACCCGAUGCAAACUACGAAUACCGAAGAAUGUUAUCACGGGAGACACACGGCGGGUGCUAACGUCCGUCGUGAAGAGGGAAACAACCCAGACCGCCAGCUAAGGUCCCAAAGUCAUGGUUAAGUGGGAAACGAUGUGGGAAGGCACAGACAGCCAGGAUGUUGGCUUAGAAGCAGCCAUCAUUUAAAGAAAGCGUAAUAGCUCACUGGUCGAGUCGGCCUGCGCGGAAGAUGUAACGGGGCUAAACCAUGCACCGAAGCUGCGGCAGCGACACUAUGUGUUGUUGGGUAGGGGAGCGUUCUGUAAGCCUGCGAAGGUGGCCUGUGAGGG
RNAcentral lists this ribosomal RNA (1226 nucleotides) under Klebsiella variicola. RNAcentral describes it as "partial 23S ribosomal RNA". It matches the Rfam family "Bacterial large subunit ribosomal RNA", at positions 1 to 1269 of the family's 2925-position model. The record is from RNAcentral. Lineage: Bacteria; Pseudomonadati; Pseudomonadota; Gammaproteobacteria; Enterobacterales; Enterobacteriaceae. RNAcentral also lists the same sequence under 1 other name.